GAUGAACGCUGGCGGCGUGCCUAAUACAUGCAAGUCGAGCGAACAGACGAGGAGCUUGCUCCUCUGACGUUAGCGGCGGACGGGUGAGUAACACGUGGAUAACCUACCUAUAAGACUGGGAUAACUUCGGGAAACCGGAGCUAAUACCGGAUAAUAUAUUGAACCGCAUGGUUCAAUAGUGAAAGACGGUUUUGCUGUCACUUAUAGAUGGAUCCGCGCCGCAUUAGCUAGUUGGUAAGGUAACGGCUUACCAAGGCGACGAUGCGUAGCCGACCUGAGAGGGUGGUCGGCCACCCUGGAACUGAGACACGGCCCAGACUCCUACGGGAGGCAGCUGGAGGAAAUCUCCCGAAAUGGGGGAAACCCUGACGGGGCAACGCCGGGUGGGUGAUGAAGGUCUUCGGUUCGUAAAACUCUUUUAUUGGGGAAAAAAAAAUGUUUAAAUAACUAUGCCCGUUUUGCCGGUACCUACUCAGAAAGCCCCGGCUACCUCCGU
Molecule: ribosomal RNA, 496 nt
Filed under: uncultured bacterium
Lineage: Bacteria
Description: partial 16S ribosomal RNA
Rfam family: Bacterial small subunit ribosomal RNA
Source: RNAcentral